Molecule: ribosomal RNA, 139 nt
Filed under: unidentified
Description: Goniopora pedunculata 5.8S rRNA
Rfam family: 5.8S ribosomal RNA
About the family: 5.8S ribosomal RNA (5.8S rRNA) is a component of the large subunit of the eukaryotic ribosome. It is transcribed by RNA polymerase I as part of the 45S precursor that also contains 18S and 28S rRNA.
Source: RNAcentral
ACGUAUCGAUGAAGAACGCAGCCAGCUGCGAUAAGUAGUGUGAAUUGCAGAAUUCAGUGAAUCAUUGAAUCUUUGAACGCAAAUGGCGCUCUUGGGUUCUCCCAGGAGCAUGUCUGUCUGAGUGUCGGAUAUCACACGA